CCUACGGGCGGCUGCAGUGAGGAAUAUUGGUCAAUGGACGGAAGUCUGAACCAGCCAUGCCGCGUGCAGGAAGACGGCUCUAUGAGUUGUAAACUGCUUUUGUACAAGGGUAAACCUGAAUACGUGUAUUCAGCUGAAAGUACUGUACGAAUAAGGAUCGGCUAACUCCGUGCCAGCAGCCGCGGUAAUACGGAGGAUCCAAGCGUUAUCCGGAUUUAUUGGGUUUAAAGGGUGCGUAGGCGGAUUGAUAAGUUAGAGGGGAAAUGUCCGAGCUUAACUCGGGAACUGCCUCUAAUACUGUUGAUCUAGAGAGUAGAUGCGGUAGGCGGAAUGUAUGGUGUAGCGGUGAAAUGCUUAGAGAUCAUACAGAACACCGAUUGCGAAGGCAGCUUACCAAUCUAUAUCUGACGUUGAGGCACGAAAGCGUGGGGAGCAAACAGUAUUAGAUACCCCUGUAGUC
This 460-nucleotide ribosomal RNA is filed under the name uncultured bacterium. RNAcentral describes it as "partial 16S ribosomal RNA". It matches the Rfam family "Bacterial small subunit ribosomal RNA", at positions 338 to 795 of the family's 1533-position model. The record is from RNAcentral.